Long non-coding RNA from Myotis daubentonii (Daubenton's bat), 1889 nucleotides. RefSeq lists it as uncharacterized. The record is from RefSeq and is a predicted model, not a curated record. NCBI's taxonomy places the organism in Eukaryota, Metazoa, Chordata, Mammalia, Chiroptera, Vespertilionidae.
CGCCCGGCAUCCAUUCGCCCGCUGCUUUCAAGUCCCGGGUUGGUUGGGCGGGCAGCGGAAUGGGGUGCGUGGAUUGGCCGAGCGCAGGAGAGAGCUGGGUGCUGAUUGGGCGGGCUUGGUAAAGGCCUCGGUCUCAGACCGGCUGAGCGCUGAGAGGAGAGGGGACCUCGGGCAAGACUCCGGGCCCGCAUGAUUGGCUGGGGUACUAGACGUUGAUAGGCCAGGGCGCCCGGGAGAAUUGGGGAGAAGAGUUCGGGGUCGGGGCCUCGGAAAGGCGGGAGGUGCCCCGCCGCUUCAGGAGCCCGGCGCGGGGCAGGAUGGGACGCCCCCGGGAAGGGGCGGAGCCGUGUCCCGGCUGCGGUUGGGGAAGCGCCGUCCCUCGGAGGGGCGUGUUGAGGGUUUCGCGGGCUUGAGCGGGGGGUUGGGGGCGGGGGGUGGAGGGCGUUAAAGGCUUGCACCGCGCCCACAGGAAGCUGCUUUAAUGGCUGGGCCUCCUUGGCAGCGGGCUCGCGGCAGGGCAGGACCUUGAAGACCACGCGGUUCAACUUCCAGUUUGCAGAUGUGGAAACGGAAGUCCAGAGAGGGUAUGCCACCGGCGCAAGGUUACACAGCUGGUUAGUGGCCUGCUCGGGCCUGGACCCCCGCGCUCCGGACUGCCCUUGGCCUUGCACCCAGCUUCCCCCUUCGAGGAGGGUGAUGUCCCCGACCACGCCCCUCCAGUGGGGAAGACUAAACCUGAGGCUGUUUCUUCCUGAGCAAGGCUGACCUCCUUGGCCUCAUUUGCGAUUAGGAAGAAUGGGAGGAAAAGGGAUAGGGAGAAUGUUUGAAGGAUGUAAUGGCCAGGACCCUGCAGCACCGGCACAACCAAACCUCUAUGAACCAUUUCCUGAACUCAGGAAACUACUGGAGAUGUGGUGCACAAAACGAGAGAAUAAACCAAGAAUCAGGAAGACAUGUGGUCCUAGAGACAGGAUAUUCAACAUAGGUGAGAAAUGGGAGAGAAUCCCCAAGAUGAUGACCACGGGAAAUCCUAGGGUGACAGACGCCUGGCCUAGAGAGUGAUCAGUCAGGAUUGGGGCAGGAGGACAGAAGGCACCAGAAUGGAUGUCCCCAAGAAAUAAAAUGAGAUGAAUAGAGGAAACAUGUACACUUUGGGUGAUAGUGGAGAAUAAAUUCAUUAUAGGGACAUGGAAAACUAAACAAAUAAAAACCAAUUUGUUAUUAAUAAUUCUAAAAAUUUGAUUUUUUUAAUAAACUGAAAAAGAAAGAAAGAAAGCUUAAUUAUAGAAGACUAAAUAACUUGGCUGUGCAUGGUCUUUAUGGAGGCAUAAUUGUGUAAACAGUAUAUGGAUGGAUCUCCCCUAAUCCCAGCAUCCUGGGCUUGCUCCUUGCAGUCUGCAUUCCAGCCAGCAGGGGCUGGCUCCCUGUUCUAACUAUUCUGGGUUUCUUUUGGUUAAACAGGAAUUGAUUUAAUUACAUUCUAUUGGAAAAUUAAUACAUUAAGAAAUUGUUGAAUUAAAAUAUCAAUAACAAAAAUGGGUCUAAGCAAAAGGCUGUGGACAAAACUACACACACACACUUUGCCCCCCCAUUUUUGUACUAAACACCCGUAAAAGAUCGUCUGGAGCUUUAAACUUGCGUCUGCUAACUAAUUGGAGAACUUUGAUUUACCCAAACGAUAUAUACCCAACCUUCGUCCUCUUAUGGGGAAGUUAAGUUGUGCGUAUUUGAAUCCAGCAUAUGUUAGAUUGACCCUUACCACAUUAUAUUGCAAGUUUUUUGUGUUUGUUUUUUUUCUAGUUCCGUUUUCUUUUUAUUCACUAGCCUGUUCUCAGUUCAAGAGCAAGUUCCUGUUUUUUCCCUCUGCAAGGUUCUGGCACCUAACACAG